GACCGGCGCACGGGUGAGUAACACGUAUCCAACCUGCCGAUGACUCGGGGAUAGCCUUUCGAAAGAAAGAUUAAUACCCGAUGGCAUAGUUCUUCCGCAUGGUGGAACUAUUAAAGAAUUUCGGUCAUCGAUGGGGAUGCGUUCCAUUAGGUUGUUGGCGGGGUAACGGCCCACCAAGGCAACGAUCAGUAGCCGGUCUGAGAGGAUGAACGGCCACAUUGGAACUGAGACACGGUCCAAACUCCUACGGGAGGCAGCAUG
This 261-nucleotide ribosomal RNA is filed under the name uncultured bacterium. Its description in RNAcentral is "partial 16S ribosomal RNA". It matches the Rfam family "Bacterial small subunit ribosomal RNA", at positions 93 to 353 of the family's 1533-position model. The record is from RNAcentral.